CAGCAGCCGCGGUAAUACGAAGGGGGCUAGCGUUGCUCGGAAUUACUGGGCGUAAAGGGAGCGUAGGCGGAUCGUUAAGUUGGGGGUGAAAGCCCGGGGCUCAACCUCGGAACUGCCUUCAAUACUGGCGAUCUUGAGUAUGAGAGAGGUGUGUGGAACUCCGAGUGUAGAGGUGAAAUUCGUAGAUAUUCGGAAGAACACCAGUGGCGAAGGCGACACACUGGCUCAUUACUGACGCUGAGGCUCGAAAGCGUGGGGAGCAAACAGGAUUAGAGACCCCAGUAGUCCCUGUCUCUUAUAC
This 301-nucleotide ribosomal RNA is filed under the name uncultured bacterium. Its description in RNAcentral is "partial 16S ribosomal RNA". It matches the Rfam family "Bacterial small subunit ribosomal RNA", at positions 509 to 807 of the family's 1533-position model. The record is from RNAcentral.